RNAcentral lists this ribosomal RNA (454 nucleotides) under uncultured archaeon. RNAcentral's name for it is "bacterial SSU rRNA". It matches the Rfam family "Archaeal small subunit ribosomal RNA", at positions 364 to 822 of the family's 1478-position model. The record is from RNAcentral.
AUCGUGAUAAGGGAACCCCGAGUGCCCGUAAAUUCGGGCUGUCCGCCAGUGUAAAUAACUGGUGAAGAAAGGGCCGGGCAAGACCGGUGCCAGCCGCCGCGGUAAUACCGGCGGCUCGAGUGGUGGCCACUAUUACUGGGCUUAAAGCGUCCGUAGCUGGAUUGUUAAGUCUCUUGGGAAAUCCACCGGCUCAACCGAUGGGCGUUCAGGAGAAACUGGCAAUCUAGGGACCGGGAGAGGUGAGAGGUACUCCAGGGGUAGGAGUGAAAUCCUGUAAUCCUUGGGGGACCACCUGUGGCGAAGGCGUCUCACUAGAACGGCUCCGACAGUGAGGGACGAAAGCUGGGGGAGCAAACCGGAUUAGAUACCCGGGUAGUCCCAGCUGUAAACGAUGCGCGUUAGGUGUAUCGGUGACCACGAGUCAUCGAGGUGCCGAAGGGAAACCGUGAAACGU